RNAcentral lists this ribosomal RNA (253 nucleotides) under uncultured bacterium. RNAcentral describes it as "partial 16S ribosomal RNA". It matches the Rfam family "Bacterial small subunit ribosomal RNA", at positions 524 to 776 of the family's 1533-position model. The record is from RNAcentral.
UACGGAGGGUGCGAGCGUUGUCCGGAAUCACUGGGCGUAAAGGGCGCGUAGGUGGCUUCUCAAGCGCGCGGUGAAAGCCCGGGGCUCAACCCCGGGUCGGCCGUGCGGACUGGGAGGCUCGAGCACUGUAGGGGCGGGUGGAAUUCCGGGUGUAGCGGUGGAAUGCGUAGAUAUGCGGAGGAACACCGAUGGCGAAGGCAAUCCCCUGGGCCUGCACUGACGCUCAUGCACGAAAGCGUGGGGAGCAAACAGG